RNAcentral lists this ribosomal RNA (468 nucleotides) under uncultured bacterium. RNAcentral's name for it is "partial 16S ribosomal RNA". It matches the Rfam family "Bacterial small subunit ribosomal RNA", at positions 28 to 507 of the family's 1533-position model. The record is from RNAcentral.
GACGAACGCUGGCGGCGUGCUUAACACAUGCAAGUCGAACGGAAAGGCCCUGCUUUUGUGGGGUGCUCGAGUGGCGAACGGGUGAGUAACACGUGAGUAACCUGCCCUUGACUUUGGGAUAACUUCAGGAAACUGGGGCUAAUACCGGAUAGGAGCUCCUGCUGCAUGGUGGGGGUUGGAAAGUUUCGGCGGUUGGGGAUGGAUUCGCGGCUUAUCAGCUUGUUGGUGGGGUAGUGGCUUACCAAGGCUUUGACGGGUAGCCGGCCUGAGAGGGUGACCGGCCACAUUGGGACUGCGGUACGGCCCAGACUCCUACGGGAGGCAGCAGUGGGGAAUAUUGCACAAUGGGCGGAAGCCUGAUGCAGCAGCGCCGCGUGCGGGAUGACGGCCUUCGGGUUGUAAACCGCUUUCGCCUGUGACGAAGCGUGAGUGACGGUAAUGGGUAAAGAAGCACCGGCUAACUACGUG